AGUGAACGCUGGCGGUAGGCCUAACACAUGCAAGUCGAGCGGCAGCACAGUAAGAGCUUGCUCUUACGGGUGGCGAGUGGCGGACGGGUGAGGAAUACAUCGGAAUCUACUUUUUCGUGGGGGAUAACGUAGGGAAACUUACGCUAAUACCGCAUACGACCUACGGGUGAAAGCAGGGGAUCUUCGGACCUUGCGCGAUUGAAUGAGCCGAUGUCGGAUUAGCUAGUUGGCGGGGUAAAGACCCACCAAGGCGACGAUCCGUAGCUGGUCUGAGAGGAUGAUCAGCCACACUGGAACUGAGACACGGUCCAGACUCCUACGGGAGGCAGCAGUGGGGAAUAUUGGACAAUGGGCGCAAGCCUGAUCCAGCCAUACCGCGUGGGUGAAGAAGGCCUUCGGGUUGUAAAGCCCUUUUGUUGGGAAAGAAAAGCAGCAGGUUAAUACCCCGCUGUUCUGACGGUACCCAAAGAAUAAGCACCGGCUAACUUCGUG
RNAcentral lists this ribosomal RNA (492 nucleotides) under uncultured bacterium. Its description in RNAcentral is "partial 16S ribosomal RNA". It matches the Rfam family "Bacterial small subunit ribosomal RNA", at positions 29 to 507 of the family's 1533-position model. The record is from RNAcentral.